RNAcentral lists this long non-coding RNA (514 nucleotides) under Lupinus mutabilis. Its description in RNAcentral is "partial ncRNA". The record is from RNAcentral. Lineage: Eukaryota; Viridiplantae; Streptophyta; Magnoliopsida; Fabales; Fabaceae.
UGAAUGUGGUAAGCUUCAACAGUGACAUGGUGAGUAGCUCCAAAGUCUGGAUACCAAGUGGAAGGUCGAGUAAGUUCAGUGUUGACAUUCAUUGCUUGAGGAUGAAGAGAAGGAGUGUAAGUAGAUUCAGGAUAAGUGGAGUCCCGAACAGAUUAGGUGGUUGAGAAGUGAUGAGAUCUUGGUCCAGGUCCAAGUAUGGAACUGUUGGUGUUCGGGUUAAAGGUGUAGGGAUUUGGAGGAAGAUUGGUGUAGUAUGAGUGAGGUAAGUAAUUGUUGUUGUGGUGAGAUGGUAAGGUGUGGUAAUUAGGUUGGCCCAGUGGGUUAAAUUGAGAGUGUGAAUGAUAGGGAUUAAAAUGUGAAGGUCGAGGUGGAAGAUAAUUGGUAGGAUAGUAAUUGUUUGGUUUAAUUGGAGCAUAGUUAGAGUAACCAAUCGGUGCAUAGUAGCAUGUGACACGCUCAUGACCAGAGCGGUUACAGAAAUCACAAUAGAGGUGAGAUCUGUUGAAGCUUCGUC